AACGAACGCUGGCGGCGGGCCUCAUACAUGCAAGUCGAGCGCGAAAGUCCGCAAGGAUGAGUAAAGCGGCGCACGGGUGAGUAACACGUGGAUAAUCUACCCUUUGGAUUGGAAUAACCUGUCGAAAGACGGGCAAAUGCCGAGUAAGCUUACGAGUUCGUGAAGUUCUUGUAAGGAAAGAUGGCGCAAGCUAUCGCCGAUGGAUGAGUCUGCGUCCCAUUAGUUAGUUGGUGGGGUAACGGCUUACCAAGACAAUGAUGGGUACCUGGUCUGAGAGGAUGACCAGGCACACUGGAACUGAAACACGGUCCAGACUCCUACGGGAGGCAGCAGUAGGGAAUAUUGCGCAAUGGACGAAAGUCUGACGCAGCCACGCCGCGUGAGUGAGGAAGGCCUUCGGGUGUUAAAGCUCUGUCAUUCGGGACAAACGGGCUAUCCGGGAAAGUUCGGGUAGCGUGAUGGUACCGAAGGAGGAAGGCACCGGCAAACUCUGUGCCAGCAGCCGCGGUAA
Molecule: ribosomal RNA, 511 nt
Filed under: uncultured bacterium
Lineage: Bacteria
Description: bacterial SSU rRNA
Rfam family: Bacterial small subunit ribosomal RNA
Source: RNAcentral